This is a long non-coding RNA of Callithrix jacchus (white-tufted-ear marmoset), 1086 nucleotides long. RefSeq lists it as uncharacterized. Lineage: Eukaryota; Metazoa; Chordata; Mammalia; Primates; Cebidae. The record is from RefSeq and is a predicted model, not a curated record.
UUUGCACUCUUCCCCAACCUCCCACUCAAUCUUUUCACCAGCAAGAAAAUCCACCCCUCCCUCUGUUCUACCAGCGGGCCCCGCCUCCUCCUCCAGGAAGCUUCCCGGGUUCAAUUCCAAGCCUUGCCCGUUCUUUAGCUCAGCCUUGGCACUCUAUAUCCCCAAUCACACUAUUCUGCCCUUUCCUGUGAAGACGGUAGUGGCCUCACUGCAGAACCCAGGCUUCUGGGAGGGGCGGGGGGGCAGAGAGAACCCCUUACUAAGAUUUCAGGGCCAAUGUGGGUUCAGCUUCAAGAAACCUAAUCCAUCCUGAAUUACUGUCUCUCCCUAAUGGGAACUAAUGAGUUGCAUGUGUUGGUAGCUUGUUGUGUAAAUGGGGUGUUUGUUCUAAAACCUGGCACCGCCUCCUGCCUACAGCAAUUCUGGGAUUGGUGGUGAGCCUGGCAGGGGUCACCUGGUCAUUCAUUCCCCUUGGGACUCAGGAUAAAUCUGGUCAUACCGAAGACAGGCCAGAGGGCCCACACCACGACCCUGCGCGCUUAGCUCCUUCCAGGAGUGAUCUCAGGCAAGCCACCUUGUUUCUUUGGGCUUUGGUAUCCCCAUCUAUAAAUACUAAAGGAAGGGGAAAUGAGCCAUAAUAGAGAGUGACAGAAUCAGCUCUGGGCUCCAGCCUGUGUACAUUCUAGAACCGUGUGAGGCAUCUCUUCAGGAGCACAUUCCAGGCUAGAGUGUGGAAAGGCGUGGGGACCUGAGAGACCUCUCCCGGGAGCCCUUCUCCUCCUGCUUCCCCCAGAUGGUUAACUCAUCUACCCACCCACCCACCCAGAGAGGAACCACGGAAAACCAGUCCGCAGGCAGGGCCCAGGGUCAGACCUGGACGUUCAGAGAUUAUUUGAGCUGGUGGCCAGCUGGUUGCUGGGACCCUGAGCUAUGACAGGUCAGUGCUCAAAGUCUGCCCCUCUUCUGAGCCUUGAGAAGAAAACAGUGCCCACCUCACGGCUGCGACCAGCCCUUCUCCAUCCCCAGUUUCCUCACCCAUGGGCUGCUACUGUUAGACCCUGGAAUAAACUACUUUGCCUUUCCGGG